UCCUACGGGAGGCAGCAGUGGGGAAUAUUGCACAAUGGGCGGAAGCCUGAUGCAGCGACGCCGCGUGGGGGAUGACGGCCUUCGGGUUGUAAACCUCUUUCAGCCCUGACGAAGCGGGAGUGACGGUAGGGGCAGAAGAAGCGCCGGCCAACUACGUGCCAGCAGCCGCGGUAAGACGUAGGGCGCGAGCGUUGUCCGGAUUUAUUGGGCGUAAAGAGCUCGUAGGCGGCUUGUCGCGUCGUCUGCGAAAACCCGUGGCUCAACUGCGGGCUUGCAGUCGAUACGGGCAGGCUGGAGUUCGGUAGGGGAGACUGGAAUUCCUGGUGUAGCGGUGAAAUGCGCAGAUAUCAGGAGGAACACCGGUGGCGAAGGCGGGUCUCUGGGCCGAUACUGACGCUGAGGAGCGAAAGCGUGGGGAGCGAACAGGAUUAGAUACCCUGGUAGUCCACGCUGUAAACGUUGGGCGCUAGGUGUGGGGGGCCUCUCCGGUUCUCUGUGCCGCAGCUAACGCAUUAAGCGCCCCGCCUGGGGAGUACGGCCGCAAGGCUAAAACUCAAAGGAAUUGACGGA
This 570-nucleotide ribosomal RNA is filed under the name uncultured bacterium. RNAcentral's name for it is "bacterial SSU rRNA". It matches the Rfam family "Bacterial small subunit ribosomal RNA", at positions 337 to 917 of the family's 1533-position model. The record is from RNAcentral.